Molecule: ribosomal RNA, 546 nt
Filed under: uncultured cyanobacterium
Lineage: Bacteria; Bacillati; Cyanobacteriota
Description: bacterial SSU rRNA
Rfam family: Bacterial small subunit ribosomal RNA
Source: RNAcentral
ACGAAGUCUUCGGACUGAGUGGCGGACGGGUGAGUAACGCGUGAGAAUCUGCCUAGAGGUCGGGGACAACCAUUGGAAACGAUGGCUAAUACCGGAUAUGCCUUACGGGGUGAAAGAUUAAUUGCCUUUAGAAGAGCUCGCGUCUGAUUAGCUAGUUGGUGAGGUAAGAGCUCACCAAGGCAGCGAUCAGUAGCUGGUCUGAGAGGAUGACCAGCCACACUGGGACUGAGACACGGCCCAGACUCCUACGGGAGGCAGCAGUGGGGAAUUUUCCGCAAUGGGCGAAAGCCUGACGGAGCAAGACCGCGUGAGGGAGGAAGGCUCUUGGGUUGUAAACCUCUUUUGUCAGGGAAGAACAAAAUGACGGUACCUGACGAAUCAGCAUCGGCUAACUCCGUGCCAGCAGCCGCGGUAAUACGGAGGAUGCAAGCGUUAUCCGGAAUUAUUGGGCGUAAAGCGUCCGCAGGUGGCUGAUCAAGUCUGCGGUCAAAGACCGGGGCUUAACCCUGGAAAGGCCGUGGAAACUGAUAGAGCUAGAGUACCGUA